UACGAAGGGGGCUAGCGUUGCUCGGAAUCACUGGGCGUAAAGGGUGCGUAGGCGGGUCUUUAAGUCAGAUGUGAAAUCCUGGAGCUCAACUCCAGAACUGCCUUUGAUACUGAGGAUCUUGAGUACGGGAGAGGUGAGUGGAACUGCGAGUGUAGAGGUGAAAUUCGUAGAUAUUCGCAAGAACACCAGUGGCGAAGGCGGCUCACUGGCCCGUUACUGACGCUGAGGCACGAAAGCGUGGGGAGCAAACAGG
RNAcentral lists this ribosomal RNA (253 nucleotides) under uncultured bacterium. Its description in RNAcentral is "partial 16S ribosomal RNA". It matches the Rfam family "Bacterial small subunit ribosomal RNA", at positions 524 to 776 of the family's 1533-position model. The record is from RNAcentral.